UGGGGAAUCUUCCGCAAUGGACGAAAGUCUGACGGAGCAACGCCGCGUGAACGAUGACGGCCUUCGGGUUGUAAAGUUCUGUUAUACGGGACGAAUGGUACGACGGUCAAUACCCGUCGUAAGUGACGGUACCGUAAGAGAAAGCCACGGCUAACUACGUGCCAGCAGCCGCGGUAAUACGUAGGUGGCAAGCGUUGUCCGGAAUUAUUGGGCGUAAAGGGCGCGCAGGCGGCGUCGUAAGUCGGUCUUAAAAGUGCGGGGCUUAACCCCGUGAGGGGACCGAAACUGCGAUGCUAGAGUAUCGGAGAGGAAAGCGGAAUUCCUAGUGUAGCGGUGAAAUGCGUAGAUAUUAGGAGGAACACCAGUGGCGAAAGCGGCUUUCUGGACGACAACUGACGCUGAGGCUCGAAAGCGUGGGGAGCGAACAGGAUUAGAUACCCUGGUAGUCCACGCCGUAAACGAUGAAUGCUAGGUAUAGGAGGUAUCGACCCCUCCUGUGCCGGAGUUAACGCAAUAAGCAUUCCGCCUGGGGAGUACGGCCGCAAGGCUG
This 550-nucleotide ribosomal RNA is filed under the name uncultured bacterium. RNAcentral describes it as "bacterial SSU rRNA". It matches the Rfam family "Bacterial small subunit ribosomal RNA", at positions 355 to 896 of the family's 1533-position model. The record is from RNAcentral.